This 35-nucleotide transfer RNA is filed under the name Perameles gunnii (eastern barred bandicoot). Its description in RNAcentral is "partial transfer RNA-Phe". Lineage: Eukaryota; Metazoa; Chordata; Mammalia; Peramelemorphia; Peramelidae. The record is from RNAcentral.
AAUGCUUAGAUGGAUUCUAAUUAAUCCCAUAAACA